AAGACUAUACUUUCAGAGAUCAUUUCUAUGGUAUGUUACUAGAGAAGUUUCUCUGAUGAUGUAGAGUACUGGAAACUCACUCCAGU
Molecule: small nucleolar RNA, 86 nt
Filed under: Ictidomys tridecemlineatus (thirteen-lined ground squirrel)
Lineage: Eukaryota; Metazoa; Chordata; Mammalia; Rodentia; Sciuridae
Description: Spermophilus tridecemlineatus (thirteen-lined ground squirrel) Small nucleolar RNA U3
Rfam family: Small nucleolar RNA U3
About the family: Small nucleolar RNAs (snoRNAs) are involved in the processing and modification of rRNA in the nucleolus. There are two main classes of snoRNAs: the box C/D class, and the box H/ACA class.
Source: Rfam by way of RNAcentral